AAGCGUUGUUCGGAUUUAUUGGGCGUAAAGCGCGUGUAGGCGGCUUCUUAAGUCUGAUGUGAAAGCCCUGGGCUCAACCCGGGAAGUGCAUUGGAAACUGGGAAACUUGAAUACGGGAGAGGGUAGUGGAAUUCCUGGUGUAGGAGUGAAAUCCGUAGAUAUCAGGAGGAACACCGGUGGCGAAGGCGGCUACCUGGACCGAUACUGACGCUGAGACGCGAAAGCGUGGGGAGCAAACAGGAUUAGAUACCCUGGUAGUCCACGCCGUAAACGAUGAGAACUAGGUGUUGCGGGUAUUGACCCCUGCAGUGCC
This 313-nucleotide ribosomal RNA is filed under the name uncultured delta proteobacterium. RNAcentral describes it as "bacterial SSU rRNA". It matches the Rfam family "Bacterial small subunit ribosomal RNA", at positions 536 to 847 of the family's 1533-position model. The record is from RNAcentral. Lineage: Bacteria; Deltaproteobacteria.